CCAGACUCCUACGGGAGGCAGCAGUGGGGAAUAUUGGGCAAUGGGCGCAAGCCUGACCCAGCAACGCCGCGUGAAGGAAGAAGGCUUUCGGGUUGUAAACUUCUUUUCUAAGGGACGAAGAAAGUGACGGUACCUUAGGAAUAAGCUCCGGCUAACUACGUGCCAGCAGCCGCGGUAAUACGUAGGGAGCGAGCGUUAUCCGGAUUUACUGGGUGUAAAGGGCGUGUAGGCGGGAUGGCAAGUCAGGCGUGAAAACUAUGGGCUCAACCCAUAGCCUGCGUUUGAAACUGUCGUUCUUGAGUGAUGGAGAGGCAAGCGGAAUUCCGUGUGGAGCGGUGAAAUGCGUAGAUAUACGGAGGAACACCAGUGGCGAAGGCGGAUUGCUGGACAGUAACUGACGCUGAGGCGCGAAAGCGUGGGGAGCAAACAGGAUUAGAUACCCCAGUAC
RNAcentral lists this ribosomal RNA (448 nucleotides) under uncultured bacterium. RNAcentral's name for it is "bacterial SSU rRNA". It matches the Rfam family "Bacterial small subunit ribosomal RNA", at positions 331 to 793 of the family's 1533-position model. The record is from RNAcentral.